RNAcentral lists this non-coding RNA (100 nucleotides) under Spiroplasma eriocheiris. Its description in RNAcentral is "TPP sequence". It matches the Rfam family "TPP riboswitch aptamer (THI element)". Rfam says of the family: Vitamin B(1) in its active form thiamin pyrophosphate (TPP) is an essential coenzyme that is synthesised by coupling of pyrimidine and thiazole moieties in bacteria. The previously detected thiamin-regulatory element, thi box was extended, resulting in a new, highly conserved RNA secondary structure, the THI element, which is widely distributed in eubacteria and also occurs in some archaea. The record is from Rfam by way of RNAcentral. Lineage: Bacteria; Bacillati; Mycoplasmatota; Mollicutes; Entomoplasmatales; Spiroplasmataceae.
AGUAAUUGACAGAGGUAGUUUAUUAAAUAAUAAACUUGAGAAAUACUCUUCGAACCUGAUCUAGUUAAUACUAGCGUAGGGAGUUCAAAUUAUGAUGAAU